This 468-nucleotide ribosomal RNA is filed under the name uncultured bacterium. Its description in RNAcentral is "partial 16S ribosomal RNA". It matches the Rfam family "Bacterial small subunit ribosomal RNA", at positions 28 to 507 of the family's 1533-position model. The record is from RNAcentral.
GAUGAACGCUGGCGGCGUGCCUAAUACAUGCAAGUCGAACGGACAGGCGCUGCUCUUGCGGCGCGCUUGAGAGGCGCAGGGGUGAGUAAAACGUGAGUAUACUGCACCUGUAUUUGGGAUAACUCCACGAAACUGGGGCUAUUAUAGGGUAGGAUAUUCUGCAGCACGUGGGGGGAUGGUAAGAUUCGGUGGUUGGGGCUGGAAUCGAGGGUUAUCCGCUUGUUGGUGGGGUAGUGGAUUACAAAGCCUUUGACGGGUAGGCGGCCUGAGAGGGUGACCGGCCACCAGGCUACUGAGAGACGGCGCAGACGCCUAUGGGACGCAGCAGUGGGGAAUCUUGCAGAGUGGGCGGAAGCCUGAUGCAGCGGCGCCGCGUGCGGGAUGACGGCUUUCGGGUUGUGAACCGCUUUCGCCUGUGACGAAGCGUGAGUGACGGUAAUGGGUAAAGAAGCACCGGCUAACUACGUG